Ipomoea nil (Japanese morning glory) is the source of this 264-nucleotide long non-coding RNA. RefSeq lists it as uncharacterized. Lineage: Eukaryota; Viridiplantae; Streptophyta; Magnoliopsida; Solanales; Convolvulaceae. The transcript is spliced from 4 exons. The record is from RefSeq and is a predicted model, not a curated record.
UUUCAAUAAUAGAUGGCUUUGGUGUUACUGACUUGGGGAUUGAAGCUAUGGGUAAAGGUUGCCCAAAUCUGAAGUAGUUUAGCCUCCGAAGUUGCACUUUUCUGGUAUCUGAUUUUUCUAUUACUGCUUUUUAAUUAUUUACUUGGUAGAACGCUUGCUCAGCUUGAAGAUGACAUUGCUCCUUGUGAAGCACAAAUGGAAAAUUGGAAAACGAACCUGACAAUUAUAGAUUCCAAAGAGAGGCAAUAUUUUCAACAGUAUUCU